Molecule: ribosomal RNA, 466 nt
Filed under: uncultured bacterium
Lineage: Bacteria
Description: partial 16S ribosomal RNA
Rfam family: Bacterial small subunit ribosomal RNA
Source: RNAcentral
GACGAACGCUGGCGGCGUGCUUAACACAUGCAAGUCGAACGGAAAGGCCCUGCUUUUGUGGGGUGCUCGAGUGGCGAACGGGUGAGUAACACGUGAGUAACCUGCCCUUGACUUUGGGAUAACUUCAGGAAACUGGGGCUAAUACCGGAUAGGAGCUCCUGCUGCAUGGUGGGGGUUGGAAAGUUUCGGCGGUUGGGGAUGGACUCGCGGCUUAUCAGCUUGUUGGUGGGGUAGUGGCUUACCAAGGCUUCGACGGGUAGCCGGCCUGAGAGGGUGACCGGCCACAUUGGGACUGAGAUACGGCCCAGACUCCUACGGGAGGCAGCAGUGGGGAAUAUUGCACAAUGGGCGGAAGCCUGAUGCAGCAACGCCGCGUGCGGGAUGACGGCCUUCGGGUUGUAAACCGCUUUCGCCUGUGACGAAGCGUGAGUGACGGUAAUGGGUAAAGAAGCACCGGCUAACUACG